CCUACGGGUGGCUGCAGUGGGGAAUAUUGCACAAUGGGCGAAAGCCUGAUGCAGCAACGCCGCGUGAAGGAUGAAGGGUUUCGGCUCGUAAACUUCUAUCAACAGGGACGAAAAAAAUGACGGUACCUGAAUAAGAAGCCCCGGCUAACUACGUGCCAGCAGCCGCGGUAAUACGUAGGGGGCAAGCGUUAUCCGGAAUUACUGGGUGUAAAGGGAGAGUAGGCGGCAUGAUAAGUUAGAUGUGAAAGCCUGGGGCUUAACCCGAGGAUUGCAUUUAAAACUAUCAAGCUAGAGUACAGGAGAGGUAAGUGGAAUUCCUAGUGUAGCGGUGAAAUGCGUAGAUAUUAGGAGGAACACCAGUGGCGAAGGCGACUUACUGGACUGUAACUGACGCUGAGGCUCGAAAGCGUGGGGAGCAAACAGGAUUAGAUACCCUUGUAGUC
RNAcentral lists this ribosomal RNA (443 nucleotides) under Salmonella enterica subsp. enterica. RNAcentral describes it as "bacterial SSU rRNA". It matches the Rfam family "Bacterial small subunit ribosomal RNA", at positions 338 to 795 of the family's 1533-position model. Lineage: Bacteria; Pseudomonadati; Pseudomonadota; Gammaproteobacteria; Enterobacterales; Enterobacteriaceae. The record is from RNAcentral.